Molecule: ribosomal RNA, 2184 nt
Filed under: Triticum aestivum (bread wheat)
Lineage: Eukaryota; Viridiplantae; Streptophyta; Magnoliopsida; Poales; Poaceae
Description: partial small subunit ribosomal RNA
Source: RNAcentral
CCUCAGAAGAUCUGACGAGGGUUUAAGGAGCGGUGGCUGGGAGGGGAGAGAAAGGGUCACUGUCGGCCUAAACUUAACCCGCUCCUAGGUAGGGGUGGGCUCGAGUCUCGAGGCCGUUGGUAUCGGCGGCCAUCUGUCUCGAGCCUCGAGGGCAUCGGUACCGACGGGCAUCUGUCUCGAGGCGGCAGACCUAGAGCGCAGUGGUCAGAGGAGACGACGGAGAGCCAGAAGGGAACGAGACCUAGGUCAGGUGGUUCUCGGGUCGGAACGACGGUUCAGGUAGCGGCGGCGGACACAGGAUACAGGGCUGUCGUGUGCGGCGGUGUAGACAGGGGGAGGAGCUGACGUAGCCGAGAGGAGGUCGUGCACUGGAUCCCAACGUACGUACCACCCUACGUGGUCGGACGGUCGGAUGGGGCGUCGGGGGGGCGACUGUACCCGGGCUCCGGGUACUCCACUCCGUCGACGGGGAGGAGCGGACCGCUCCGUCGACCUCUUCAUCGACGCCCUGGUCUCCGACGGCAUCCUACUCUAUGACACCACGACGUCACAGAUCACCAACUUCUUCCCCACACGACCCUUCUCCUCAAUCACUACACCUCCUCAAAAAGGUCCCGAUAGACGGACAAGGGCCGGCGCGACCACAGUUGAUGGAGCUCGGUGAUACCGGUGGGGGUUGGUGCGAGUGGGGGGCCUUGUUAUUUGUUAAGAUCUCCCUUUCGUGGGCUGGACACUUUGGAUCGCGGCGAUCAAAGGGACGGGGCAGAACGGCAGUGGCCUCCCCGGCUAGCUGCUUCGAACCGACCGAGGGCCCUACCGCCGCCGCCCCGUGAAAAGCCCGAACACGCGCCGCGUCCACUCGCGCCGCAACCGGCGAUCUAACUCGCAUCAAGGGGUGCACCCGACGAGCUAGACCGCCGCCGCCGACGAGUUACCUCUAACACUAACAAGCAUCAUCUUACAUACGUGCUCUGUACUUAGAACCUAAAAUAUAACAAAAGGAGCUACGAACCCGAAGGAGCUUGAAAAACAUAUAACGUGUGUUGUGUUGUGUAUUUAAGUACCUAUGAUUUAAAAAUUUACUAAACUUUAGUACAACAAAAGAUAAGAUGACGGUAACCAAGUAGUGAGACUUGGUUUUAGUUAACAACCUUGAGACCGUAUAUAACCAGGAUUUCAACACGAUUUCUUUCUUAUACUGCGUUCGAUACUAGGUCGGAUAAACACUAAAUUUGCCAGACGACGUAUGAGACGGUAGACGACGUAUGAAUUAAUACAAACGAGCCGGUAUUUUCGGAAUGAACUAAAGACCUAGAAGGUAAGUGGAAGGCAACGGUACUCACCACUUACCAGAACUCCUCAUUAGUAAAUCUAUUACAUACAUAAAACGAGUUCGUGAUUAUAAUACAGAAACUUACCGGAUACGCACCUACACCCUAUUGGGAAAGACACUACAACCAACCACGAAUGGGAGAGCUCCUAGGUCUUCUAGGUUUUUUUGCUUUAAGUCUUUGGGGUAUAGUUUGCCUUAGGUUUGCCCUAUUUUUGCCUGCCUAUUAUAAAAACCUUAUAAACUUUUUAAGACCUUCUUCUUAGUUGCGUUCUGCCACGGGCUCCACCGGUGCUCCGUCCCCCACGCGGACGGGGGGAUCCGCGCGGGGACUGGGAGCACCCGGUGGGCAUUCCGCCAACUACGGGAAGAAGUCGGCGUUGUUUCGAUUAAAAACCCUUUUAUAGUGCCGCUUCCAAAGUCAGGUUAGCCUCAAUGCCUAGAGGUAUAUAUAUGCUUUGCCACUUUCCCUUGGUCUGCUCUUGCGUCUUUGUCUCUCUCUGUCUCUCUGUCUAGGUUAGAGCCUCCCUGAGAGCGGGGAGGGUGAGGUACCUCUGGUACCUGAUCUCCCCUUUGGGAAGAGGAUAGAUCCCUCUUCCAGUUCCUUCUUCUUCUUCCUCCCCCCGAGAGAGGGGGUUCGAAAGCCACCGCGGUCCUGCGACGGCCCCCGGUAGUAGUAGUGGCGCUAGAUGUGGUUGUGGAGGCGGUAGAAGUGGUUGUAGAGGUAGUGGAAGGGGGGAGAUAGAUGUCGCCAGGUGAGAGGGCGUUGGGCGACAUGGGAGAUGAACUUGUACCACGAAAUACGAAGUAUAAUAAUAAGUUACUACACAACGGUAGGAUACUACAGACUCAUC